CAUCCGGGGGAAGAAAAUAAAAGAUCCCGAGCGGCUGUCAGAGGGGCCCGAGCCCUUGCCUGUCUGUUCCUCCCCUGAGGGGUUCCACAGAGGAGGGGUCCGCUGCGAGGCGUCUUCUGUGUGCAGCAAUGCUAGGUGAGGGAUUACAAAGAACACACAACCCACGUCUGCAUUGCCAGGCAACAGAGGAAUGUGACUGGAUUUUGGCUCCUUUUCCGCUGGUAACCCACGGCACUGAAUGUGUAAGUACCAGAUGUUCAGGGACUUAUCAAAGCCCUGUCGAUCUCUCGCCGAGCCUAUUUGGAUUCUUUAUCCGUGUACCUGCAAAUCAACACAGACCGUGUCAACAACCGUGAAUGUGACCUACUUUGGGUCUGACAAAGAGUGCUCAAAAGAGAUGACUGGUGACAGGGUUCGGUCACCUGAUCGGCGCUUGUCGAAAAAAUGUACACCCCGGAAAAUGCUUGACACCUGGUCGUGGCUCAUGGCCAGAGUCACACAGCUGGCCCCGCCCCACCCCACCGAGCAUACCGACGACAUCUCUAGGACCCCGUGGUGACACAGGCUGGCAGUCAGAAACAACUUCCCUGUACAUGGAAUGCCUGGCCUUUGGCACUUCUUAGCACCUAUUACACCGAUCCUAACAACGUCCAUCGGCAUCUGGGCCCAGAGGGAAGAGCCGUCCAUUUUCAAUCAGUUAACAUGUUUCCUGCAUCCGCCGUUACGCUGAGGAGUUCUGGCGACGUAAAGCAGAUUGACACAAUCCCCCAACAGAGCGUUGAUAAAUCCAGAACGAAUUCAUUGCUGCUGUUUGGGAAGUUGAAUUUCAACACUCUAAUAUCUCUCUUAUAAUCAAACUUUUAUUCAUCUUACUAGAAGAGCUUAGACUAACUAAAUAAGUGCUGUAAGAUAAUCCUAAUUGAGGAGCUCGAGAUAAAGCAGUAUUACAAACAACAUGAUCUCCCUCCUUUACUUUAAUCUUAUCCAUGAGUCACAAAUGUGUCUUUAGGAAUGAUAUAUUUGGACUUAAACAGUGCCUGCUGCAUGAUCAUGUGCAACAAAGUUCUGGGUAAAUGCGCACACAUGUUGCUUGGAAUUCCUGACAGAGAGAUGGACAGGCGGAGGAACAGCAGGAGGAAGAUCAUUUGUGGCCCACAGCUCUCUGCUCAUUAUCUCCCGAUCGGCUGACAGCAGUCGGCCAUCCAUGAUGCACAGAGGCUUCGGCGGGGCUCACCUGUGCACUGUCCGAAAUGCUGCACCGUGAUGUCCUCGUCCUGCCUACAGGCGAUGGUCCUCAGCUGGCACUGAUCGGCGUAGGUCACCCCGUCUGAGCCGCACACCUGCUCCACGGUGACAGAGACGGAGAGAGGGGAGAUGGGAACACAUGUUACCUCCCUGCAGGCUGCUCAAACAAACUGCUGCAAACCACUCCGUGAGACCCACCUUGGUUUUGUUUUUCUCGUCACAGUCUGGGGAAGGACACUCGCAGUGGGCUUGGUCGUUCACCUCGAUGCAUGUCGCUCCGUAACUGCACACUAACUCCUCACAUGAGAUCUCUCCCGAAGCUCUCCAAAGGAAGUGUUUGAAGCCUUGAAGCCGCCGCAGCAGGCUCAGCAGCCGGGGAGCCCAGCAUCCACCUGCCAGGCUGGCGAGUGUGGGGUCUUUGCAUUGUUACUACAUCACACAGGCUGAGAGUACCCCCCAUCCCUGAGCACCGGCUUUCAUGUGCUACCUCAUCUUUUCAUCUGGCGGGGCGUGUGGCGGAGUGCCCCACCACUGUGCCGGGACUGCUGGCUUCAUUAAGCGUUUGACUUCCGGUCGAUAUCUGAUGGUGCAUCUGAAUCAGGCAGCUGCUGGCCCCCGCAGCAGGAACUAACCUUUUCCUACAAACAGCUUUUUAUUAGCUUGUGCAAUCACCGGGCUGUUUUUAUUAUUAAUCGAAGUGAAUAAUAGUUCGCGUACACAUUGCAAAUCGUCCAAAAUGGAGUGUGUGGAGAACAUAUCAAUGGCCGUAUGUCAUUUGUACACUCCACUAUUUUCAGAAUCACUAUCGAUUUACUGCCCUGCGGCCGCUUCCUCCCUGCACCAGUAAAGCAGAUGGAUGUGAAAAUCAAAGAGAGAGAAAACUGGCUGCUACGAGAUCAGACGGGCACUUUAAAAUGAUCUAGGGAGGUUGUGACGGAGAGGAAGACGCCCACAGGUUAGUACUCCACCUUUGUCGCAGCCGUUGGUGCUUCCGUCUCGACACACGUUGCACUUCAUGCCCUUCACUCCCGUCUUGCAGGAACACAGGCCCGACAUCUGCUCGCAGUCGUCCCGGACCGAGCCCGUGGCGUCGCAGUUACACGCUGCCAUGGAGAUGUAAGAGGGAGAGAAAGAGUGAUGAGAAAACAAUUAGGUCCAAUCAGAGGAAGAGUUUUGGUUUGGUUCGAGGCAGCACUUCUCUGAACAUCUCGGAGACAAAGGUUGGGAAUAGUUCACACAGCCUUAGGGGCCGCAGGAGGAGUGUGUAACGGAGACUCAAGAAAACAACCCCAGGGAAGGACACCAUGUUCCUGGAAUCAAUGAUGUGUGUUUUUUUUUUCCCUCCACUCCCGCUGAAGCUGGUAUUAGUGUGCGGUGUGCUGUCUGCUUGCUGUGUGUAAACCUUGUUAAGGUCAGGCAAUGGGUGAGACUUCCCGCUGUUGACUGAAAAUGCUCUGUGGCGUUGGGAGCGUAUGUCCUAUGUUCCCCCCAGCGGCAGGACACGAGCUGGUCACCAUAUUGCAUUACAGCAGACAAACAUGGGGUCCUGACCCCGCUCCUCGCUCGAAUACAAAUGAAAACAGUUCAUUCAAUACAGCCUUGACAUGACUAAAGGACACAGUAGGCGUUCCUCUCUGUAAAAACCUACCAACUGUAUAUCAGCCGUAUUAUAAACUUCUAACAGUCUACAAGGUAUGUAAGGAUAUUUAUCUAAAAGUUCUUAUUCAUUGGGAUCGAUUCCAAGAUAUAUUUAUUUUACCGCUACAGGGGUUGAGAUAUAACCGACUCUUUCACCGACAGUGGAAUCCAGUCAUGCUGAUUUGGUUCUAUUUGUAAAGGUUUUGUGACAUCUUCCCCAGAAGGUGUUUGGCUCCAUCCCAAAAAAAUAAGGUGAGUGAAAUAAAAAAAGUUCAACUGCAAUUAAUUUUUUCUGUCGCUGUGUAACAGGUAAGCACAUUCCCUAAAUCGGCACGGACACAAAGAGGCAAUUCCUUACGUGUGCAGCCACUCAUGUUCUCCGUCACGAUGCCGCGGAAGUUCCAGAAGCCCGGCUCGCAGCGGUCACACUUCUGUCCGCCCACACCCGGCUUACAGGAGCACUGGCCGCUGGCUGGAUCACACGUCCCCUUGUAGGAGCCGUAGACGUUGCACUGACACGUACCUGAGGAGAACAUCCACACCAUCACUGCUUCAUGCCUUUCUAACUGAGAAACAGCCAUUAUCCUGUGACAGCUGAAUACUGCUUGCUAUGAUGGAUAUUAAACAUUUAUGCUGGUCUGGAAAUCUUAGGUGAGCCCUGUUUGGCAAAUAAAAAAGGGUGGAUAAAGUGUG
Long non-coding RNA from Eleginops maclovinus (Patagonian blennie), 3576 nucleotides. RefSeq lists it as uncharacterized. Lineage: Eukaryota; Metazoa; Chordata; Actinopteri; Perciformes; Eleginopidae. The transcript has 2 exons. The record is from RefSeq and is a predicted model, not a curated record.